GUUUGGUCGUGGAGUCUUUGAUGCCACUGCCCCAUCGACCGGAAGUCGCUUUCUAGUUGGUACAUAAGCACAGAGUUAGAGUAAGCAAGGCUUGUCGGGUGGCAAGUGGUUUGAAGCACCUUGGUGGCAGUAAAUUCCUCAACCUUCCAGAUGUGUUGCUGUUUUAUGGUGUGGAAGGGACAGGCCCUGAAGAGAUGGCUCAAAUACGAAGAACCUCAUCAUCAGAUGGAAAGCCUUCACCAUAUGCCAAACAGAUGAAGCUUCCUUACUCAUCCUCCAAAACUUAGGUCUUUGACAGAGAGGACCGUCUGUGGUGAUCUUUCAGGAAGGUGAAAGGAAACUGACAAAGCAGGAUGCAACCUAAAAACUGACCUAGAUGGCACCAGUGAUGGUGUUGAGUGUCCUGAUACCCAUUAACCAGAAGAAGAAGCUAUUAUGUGCAUAUGAGCCCAAAGAAAAAUUAAGGAGAAG
RNAcentral lists this long non-coding RNA (471 nucleotides) under Cricetulus griseus (Chinese hamster). RNAcentral's name for it is "lncRNA (ENSCGRG00015040846.1)". The record is from RNAcentral. Lineage: Eukaryota; Metazoa; Chordata; Mammalia; Rodentia; Cricetidae.